Molecule: transfer RNA, 73 nt
Filed under: Chelydra serpentina (North American snapping turtle)
Lineage: Eukaryota; Metazoa; Chordata; Testudines; Chelydridae
Description: tRNA-Val
Rfam family: tRNA
About the family: Transfer RNA (tRNA) molecules are approximately 80 nucleotides in length. Their secondary structure includes four short double-helical elements and three loops (D, anti-codon, and T loops).
Source: RNAcentral
GUUUCUGUAGCGUAGUGGUUAUCACGUUUGCCUAACAUGCAAAAGGUCCCUGGUUCGAAACCAGGCAAAAACA